This is a long non-coding RNA of Fundulus heteroclitus (mummichog), 164 nucleotides long. RefSeq lists it as uncharacterized. The record is from RefSeq and is a predicted model, not a curated record. NCBI's taxonomy places the organism in Eukaryota, Metazoa, Chordata, Actinopteri, Cyprinodontiformes, Fundulidae. The transcript has 2 exons.
AUUGUACGGCUAGCGCUGAGUCCUCACCGCUUCCUCCCCGGUCGGCCUUCCGUCCAUCGAGUGUGAUCGACCCGGUUUCCUGCUCCCUGACCGUUACCUGACGCUGCCUCCGCUGAGGCAGAAUCCUCCCGUUACCUGGUUCUUAAAUAAAACCUUUAAACUUC